UGAGUACGAGAUGCUACGGCAUCGAAGCAGUCUAUGUCAUACUUCCAAGAAAAGCUUGCAAUGUCAUAAACAAAUAAUGCCUGUACCAUAACCGACACAGGUGGGUAGGUAGAGUAUACUAAGGGGCGCGAGAUAACUCUCUCUAAGGAACUCGGCAAAAUGACUCCGUAACUUCGGGAGAAGGAGUGCCUUAUUUUUAUAAGGUUGCAAUAACAAGAUCCAAGCAACUGUUUACCAAAAACACAGGUCUCCGCUAAGUCGUAAGACGAUGUAUGGGGGCUGACGCCUGCCCAGUGCCAGAAGGUUAAAGAAGUUGGUUAGCAUUAGCGAAGCUGAUAACUGAAGCCCUGGUGAACGGCGGCCGUAACAAUAACGGUCCUAAGGUAGCGAAAUUCCUUGUCGGGUAAGUUCCGACCCGCACGAAAGGCGUAAUGAUUUGGAUACUGUCUCGGAGAGGGGCUCGGUGAAAUAGACUUGUCUGUGAAGAUGCGGACUACCUGCACCUGGACAGAAAGACACUAUGAAGCUUUACUGUAACUUGAGAUUGAAAUUGGACUUUAUCUGCGCAGUAUAGGUGGGAGACGUUGAAAAUAUUCUUGCGGGAGUAUUGGAGUCAUCAGUGAGAUACCACUCUUAUAAUGUUAGAUUUCUAACUUUGUAUCAUUAUCUGGUCAAAGAACAGUUUCAGGCGGGCAGUUUGACUGGGGCGGUCGCCUCCCAAACGGUAACGGAGGCGCACAAAGGUUUCCUCUGAACGUGUAGAAAUCGUAUCUAGAGUGUAAAGGCAUAAGGAAGCUUGACUGUGAGACCUACAAGUCGAGCAGGGACGAAAGUCGGUCUUAGUGAUCUGACGGUGCUGAGUGGAAAGGCCGUCACUCAACGGAUAAAAGUUACUCUAAGGAUAACAGGCUGAUCUCCCCCAAGAGUUCACAUCGACGGGGAGGUUUGGCACCUCGAUGUCGGCUCAUCGCAUCCUGGGGCGGUAGUACGUCCCAAGGGUUGGGCUGUUCGCCCAUGAAAGCGGUACGCGAGCUGGGUUCAGAACGUCGUGAGACAGUUCGGUCCAUAUCCGGUGUAAGCGUUAGAAUAUUGAGAGGAGCCUUCUUUAGUACGAGAGGACCGAGAGGGACAUACCUCUGGUGUACCAGUUAUCGUGCCAACGGUAAACGCUGGGUAGUCAUGUAUGGAGAGGAUAACCGCUGAAAGCAUCUAAGUGGGAAGCCCACCUCAAGAUAAG
RNAcentral lists this ribosomal RNA (1237 nucleotides) under metagenome. Its description in RNAcentral is "bacterial LSU rRNA". It matches the Rfam family "Bacterial large subunit ribosomal RNA", at positions 1564 to 2808 of the family's 2925-position model. The record is from RNAcentral.